AGCAGCCGCGGUAAUUCCAGCUCCAAUAGCGUAUAUUAAAGUUGUUGCAGUUAAAAAGCUCGUAGUUGAAUUUCAGGCCUGGCUGGGCGGUCCGCCUUUUGGGUGAGUACUGCCUGUGGUCGGGUCCUACCUUCUGGCGAAGCGUCAUGGCCUUAACCGGCCGUGGCGGGGAACCAGGACUUUUACUGUGAAAAAAUUAGAGUGUUCAAAGCAGGCAUUCGCUUGGAUACAUUAGCAUGGAAUAAUGGAAUAGGACAGUGGUUCUAUUUGUUGGUUUCUAGGACCGUUGUAAUGAUUAAUAGGGAUAGUUGGGGGCAUUAGUAUUCAAUUGUCAGAGGUGAAAUUCUUGGAUUUAUUGAAGACUAACUACUGCGAAAGCAUUUGCCAAGGAUGUUUUCAUUAAUCAAGAACGAAAGUUAGGGGAUCGAAGACGAUCAGAUACCGUCGUAGUCUUAACCAUAAACUAUGCCGACUAGGAAUCGGGCGAUGUUGACAAAAUGACGCGCUCGGCA
RNAcentral lists this ribosomal RNA (512 nucleotides) under uncultured Paraglomus. RNAcentral describes it as "SSU rRNA". It matches the Rfam family "Eukaryotic small subunit ribosomal RNA", at positions 569 to 1085 of the family's 1831-position model. The record is from RNAcentral. Lineage: Eukaryota; Fungi; Glomeromycota; Glomeromycetes; Paraglomerales; Paraglomeraceae.